RNAcentral lists this non-coding RNA (25 nucleotides) under Rattus norvegicus (Norway rat). The record is from RNAcentral. Lineage: Eukaryota; Metazoa; Chordata; Mammalia; Rodentia; Muridae.
UAUUGUGAAAGAGCCUGGUGUGGAA